AGUGAACGCUGGCGGUAGGCCUAACACAUGCAAGUCGAACGGCAGCACAGGAGAGCUUGCUCUCUGGGUGGCGAGUGGCGGACGGGUGAGGAAUACAUCGGAAUCUACUCUGUCGUGGGGGAUAACGUAGGGAAACUUACGCUAAUACCGCAUACGACCUACGGGUGAAAGCAGGGGACCUUCGGGCCUUGCGCGAUUGAAUGAGCCGAUGUCGGAUUAGCUAGUUGGCGGGGUAAAGGCCCACCAAGGCGACGAUCCGUAGCUGGUCUGAGAGGAUGAUCAGCCACACUGGAACUGUGACCCGGUCCAGACUCCUACGGGAGGCAGCAGUGGGGAAUAUUGGACAAUGGGCGCAAGCCUGAUCCAGCCAUACCGCGUGGGUGAAGAAGGCCUUCGGGUUGUAAAGCUCUUUUGUUGGGAAAGAAAUCCAGCUGGCUAAUACCCGGUUGGGAUGACGGUACCCAAAGAAUAAGCACCGGCUAACUUCGUGCCAGCCGCCGCGGUAA
RNAcentral lists this ribosomal RNA (506 nucleotides) under uncultured bacterium. Its description in RNAcentral is "partial 16S ribosomal RNA". It matches the Rfam family "Bacterial small subunit ribosomal RNA", at positions 29 to 523 of the family's 1533-position model. The record is from RNAcentral.